Molecule: ribosomal RNA, 430 nt
Filed under: Acidobacteriota bacterium
Lineage: Bacteria; Pseudomonadati; Acidobacteriota
Description: Acidobacteria bacterium partial 16S ribosomal RNA
Rfam family: Bacterial small subunit ribosomal RNA
Source: RNAcentral
UGGGGAAUCUUGCGCAAUGGGGGAAACCCUGACGCAGCGACGCCGCGUGGGCGACGAAGGCCUUCGGGUCGUAAAGCUCUGUGGGGCGGGACGAAUUGCCUGGGUUCAAAUAGGGCUCAGGUUUGACGGUACCGCUUCAGCAAGCACCGGCUAACUCUGUGCCAGCAGCCGCGGUAAGACAGAGGGUGCAAACGUUGCUCGGAAUCAUUGGGCGUAAAGCGCGUGUAGGUGGCUCUCCACGUCGGGUGUGAAAGCCCGGGGCUCAACCCCGGCAGUGCACCCGAAACGAGGGAGCUAGAGUGCUGGAGAGGCGGGUGGAAUUCCCGGUGUAGAGGUGAAAUUCGUAGAUAUCGGGAGGAACACCGGUGGCGAAGGCGACCCGCUGGCCAGCAACUGACACUGAGACGCGAAAGCGUGGGGAGCAAACAGG